Molecule: long non-coding RNA, 7384 nt
Organism: Oncorhynchus tshawytscha (Chinook salmon)
Lineage: Eukaryota; Metazoa; Chordata; Actinopteri; Salmoniformes; Salmonidae
Source: Ensembl
GUGGUUGUCAGGGAAGUGUCGCUAAGUCACAAGGUUGACAGCGUUUGGUUCCAUACCAUCCUGCUUGUAUUACCUUGGUGGGUGCAGAGGCUAUGAACAAAGAGAGGAAGGAAUGUUGUGGUUGUCGGUGUCAAUGGAGCUCAUGUAUGUUGGGCCGCUGUGUAUCAGCUGUGUGCUGCUGUCUCUUCAGUUGUGUCUGGAUGCCUUUUGGCCCUCACAGCGCUGGCGACAGCUCCUCAAUGCCUACUCCUACUAUCUUAGGAGGUACACACUAUGUAUAGACACUGCAACACCUGUCCUGGAGCAUCAUCCAGCCAAAUGCUCUCCCAGUUCCUAUCCAGUGUUAAGUGCUUGUGUGGGUGUAUGUAGUAUACAGUAUGUGUGAUGCAAUCAACCUCAAAACAUCUUGCCAUUUUGCCCAAUGCUCAUGUACUAAAUUGAGCAAAUUCAUGUUCUCUUAAUUCAUAUAAUACAUGUAUGUUUGAUAUUUUAUUGUAUGAGAAAAUAAUUUAACAGUACUAUAAAGAAUUACUUCUCUUUACUGCCUAAAACCUUUCUCCCUAUACCUCUUUCACUCACACUGUUGCUAGGUAACAGUUAAUUGUUAAAAGUAGGUACUUGUAUUGUAGUGCAUUCUGGGAUUGUGGGGGUGAGAUGAAGUGGAAGGGAGGACAGACAUUGAGAGAAAGAGAAAAUAGGGCAACAUGUAUUGGGGGAGGAAGAAAAAAAAGCAUAUUCUAUAUUAAUAAAGAGAGUCUGAGACCGACAUGUGUUUACAGGAUAAGCUAAGAGUUGACAUUGAAAAAGCAGCCUGCAUUAUGGACUUAGAGAGAUAGUAUCUUCACCGCUGUCAUCUGUCCUCCUUACCUCUCGUCCCAUUUAUAUUUUCUCUUUCCCUUUCUCGGGCUCUUCUCAUUCUCUAUAAUCCAGUGGACUCUCAUCCAUAACUCACAGGUCUCCCUCCAUUUUAUUACAUCCCUGCCCCCCAUCCUAAUAACUCAAGGUGACACACAAUAUAUGGGGGCCUUGGAGAGAGAGAGAGGGGAAAGAGCGAUAAGGAGCAAGAGAAAGAGAGAAAAAAAGACAGAGCGAGAGCAAGGGAGGGUGAAAGAGGGCAGGAGAGAGGGCAAGAGAGAGCUUUGCCAGUUAGAUGGGGUUAAAUUAGAGUCCCUGAAAGCUUGGCCUUCAAACAAGCCCUGAAUGGGGAUUUGCUCUGACUGGAUCAUUGGCCUCUGCCCUGGCCUCCCAGCCUGUCUACCUCUGUGUUCCCUCUCCUAUAUUAACCUCUCUAAUCUCUCCCCCUCACUCUCUAACCCUCUAACGUUCUCCCGUCACCCCUCCUCCCAGACGUCUUCAAAAAAGUCAGGCUUUUCUCUUGCCCCUUUUUUUCUCAUGCCUCGCCCCCGCUAUCAAUCAUUUAAUAAGUCUUGCUUUCCAACUUGACUGAAAGAUUUAUAAGAGGGGGAGAGAGAGACAUGCUAGAGGAAGCUGAUACAUGGGGAGAUGAGUGUCAUAGUGGUUGUAGGUCUGAACAAGAAUGGAGGGAUGUGUAAACUGACAGACAGAAGGGACAGAGAUACUGAGAAUCAUGAGUAAGGUGUACAUUCACAGGCAUGUGCUUUUGCUCCAAAAUAAUUAUUUGGCUAUCCUCAUAGGAUAACCUUUUUUUGGUUCCAGGUAGAACUCUUUGGGGUUCUAUAUAGAACCCUCUAUGAAAAGGGUUCUUCAUGGAACUCAAAAAGGUUCUACCUGGAACCAAAAAGGGUUCUUCAAAGGGUUCUCAUAUGGGGACAGUUGAAUAACCCUUCUAGGUUCUAGAUAGCACCUUUUUUUCUAAGAGUGUAUGUCUCCUAUGUUCAUUCCCACAACUAUUUCCUAACCAUAGUAUAAUAAUGUCCCUGACAGACUGUUUAGGUUGACUCCAUUGGUCCUACUGGGCCCGGGCAAAAUGACAUCUUGAUGUUAAUGCAUGGGAGACAAUCUCUAUUUGAAUAGAGCACAGUAACCUAGCUACAGAUUCUCUGGGCUCACACCAUGGAGGACUGCUUGUCUCUCAUAGAAAGUAAGGGCACCAUGUGGUAUUUAAAUGUAUUCAAAUGGAGGAACGCAGGGUCCAGAACCGGUCACAGACUACUAGAUCUGGUUGAGCACAGGAGUAACCGGAGCCCUGGGCCUGGACAGUGGUGCUGUGGUCUGUUAGGUGCUGUGGAGCGCCAGCAGUGUGGGUCGCUGCGGAAACCCAGCCGCCCUGCAACUCAAGGUACCAUGUUGCCCUGCUUCCUGGGCUGCCACCUCUCACCCACGGUCCUAGCUCUUUCCACAUCUGCCGAGCUGAGCUCCCAGACAGAGAGAGAGAGGGAGAGGAAGAGGAGAGGGAGGAGGAGACAGAGUGAGAGAUGGAGUGUAAGGGAGACUGCAGCCCUGUCCAGUAGACUGAGCAGACAGACUCAGUAUGUCUUGCCAGUAAAAGCGAUUGAACGUGAGAGACAUACACAAGCAGGGAGCAAGGCAGAACUUUACUGGAACAUAAAUAUAUCAGGGAAAUGGGAAAUGAAAGAUUGAGGGGGUACAGGGGAGAUGACAAAUCUUCAAAAUGACAGGAGGGAAAGAAAGAGAGGGAGGGAGGGGUACAGAGCACACAAGGGCAGAGAAAGGAAGACUCAUCCCCAAAUUUGUGAGAUUGGCAUUUUUAAUUAAUACUCAACACGUAAUUUUUGUUCAUCAUGUACAAAGAAAAUAAGUCAUAUUUUAGCACUUAUCAUUGAAGAUAUCAGUAUUAUCCUUAUUAGAGGUACCAUGAUGAUGUUUUUUGUGCAAAUAUCCAAUGACUUUAUUAAUUUGUUCUUGUGGUUCAUUUAAUCAUUUCCAUACAAAAAAAAUGAAGGAAUGAGUUUAAAUGUUUUCUCCAAUAUUCAUAUUUACACAAUCUGUACAAUUCUUUAUUUGUAUAUCAUUUUCUGUUUGUAUAAUGGUGUAAAAAUGGUGUAACAUUUCAAAGAAAGGGCCACAAAAGGAGAAAAUAAUGGCCUACAAUAACAUGUAUACAGUUGAUACUAUUCAUGUUACAUUUCACCUACUCAUGGUUAAUUCAAUCAGGAUAUUCAGCUUCGGUAAAGAAAGAUCACAAACUUGCCCUAAAACGCAGGCUGUCUGUACACACUCUCAGCAAUGAAUAUUUUUUAUAAAAUACAUUUUGCAACAACCCCUUAACCAAUGUUACCCACAUUACUAUAACAUGUGUCCUGUUAUGUAUCUUAAUCAUGAAGACAAAAGGAAAUCAAACCGUUGUACAGGUUAUAUGCUCAAAUAAACACACGCGCCCACAACUGACCAACCAUUCAAGCAUACACACAAAAACACACACAGUGCACCACUUUCAUUCAAUCUACAAGAAAUGAGAGCACAACAAAAAAUGCAUAAAGUUGCAAUGUUAACCCUUCCAAAAACCCAUCAAUAUUCAUAAGAUGAACUUUUUCUUUAAUUUGUCCAAAGCACUCAAGUGAGAAUAGGCCUGUAACCAAUCACUGUGUUCUCAAUGUAAUGAUUGUAAUACUAUUACUAUCAACGUUUAUAUUGUUAUACAAAUUAAAAUCCUUUUCAUCAAUUGGCAAAAUAUUAUAAUAAAAACACAAUGAAACCAGUGUUGUUUAUUCAACUUUGAAAUACAGGAAUAAACCAGUGUUGUAGAUGUAGUGAUGUUUGUUAUCAUAUUAGAUCAAUGUGUUCCAGCUGGAGUAUCCACCCAAUAGCAUCGGCCUGUUCUACAGUCCACUACCAUGGCAGAGCAUUUCCUUGCUUUGGCUGAUGUGACAUUGCAUUUAGCUUCAUAUCCCCAUUUAAACAAAUGUGUAUGUGUACAGACAUGCUUGUGCAGAGAGUGUGACUGGGACCAAAAGGCCUUGGGGAAAUAAACACUGCUUGCUGUUUCUCACUUGCUGUCCGUAGAGUAGUUGUGGUAAAGGGUACGACAGCCUGUACUAAGCAGUAUCAGUUUAUUCCACCCUGUUCAAUCAGUGAAAAAAACAGUUAAGACCAGUGUGCCAUUUUCAAGAAGAGUUCCUGACCAUCCAUAUCACAAUGUUUGCCUGUACAUUUAAAGGGAUUCUUCCAUUCAAGACUAAUCAACACACCAGUAGAUUCCAACACAAACACUCCAAGGGAUCAUGCAGUUUAUUGCGAUGAGUAAAAUCAACAUGAGUUGCAUAAAAAGUAUGCAGACCCAAACAGAGUGCAGUGAAAACACAGUUUUCAAUUCAAUUUUCAGAAAAAACCCUCUAGACAUAAAUCCAUUUGAAUGAGAAAUGUCAAGCUAAAAUGAUUUCUCCCAAAAAGUUGGAAAAUAAACAAAUUGAAACUUAUUGAAAGCAAUAAUGCUCAGACAAAAACUAGCAGAUAAAUAAAAAAUGGCUUAGACAACAUAUAUAUCUCCUCACACAUGCAUACCAAACAGUUUGACACACAGUGGAGAUUUGAUCAAGGAUAAAUACAUCACAAAGGAUAUAAUUUUUUUCUCUGACAAGAACCCAAAUGAACAUAAUGAUGUCAACUCAUUGCCUUGAAUUAAUUGAUUCACCCUUCAUUUCUAACCAUCUGCACAUUAUGUUUAGGUGACAUGGAUGAGAAACAUUUCAUCAUUCUAUAAAGGGUUGAAAACUGCAUUUCCAUUUCAGAUGGAUUAUUCACUGUGAUGAAGCUAACCACUUCCUUUUGACCCCAUCUGCACCACCAUCCUCUGUUAUUAUGAGAGCAACACUGGGAAAAGUCCAAUGUUUUGUGCCCAGUGCUACUGAACACGUAUCACUGAAGAUAUCAGUAUUAUCCUUAUUAAAGAUACACAGAAUGAGGAGGAAGAGUCAGUCCUGCGUAGUGUAGGCUCUAUCAACACCAGUGCAGUCGGCAUCAGAUCCCAGUUGAAUAAAGGACAACAUAACACAAAUGAUCUUGCACUCAAUUACUUAAUUAAUGAGGAUUGCUUAAAUGAAGGAUCACAAUAUACAGUCUCUAUAUGCAAAAGCCAUCUACUGGUAUGUAUACAUGUGAUACUGUAUUACAUAAAUGUAUAGAUAAUUGUGUGGAUCCCGUAAAGCAUGAAGAGUAGCCUAUCUUAAAAGAGAAUCUAACACAAUUCAAGGGAAACUUAGCAAAGACUCUUAAACUAAACUUUCCCCCUUAUCACCAAACGUCUACACUAAAUUAUCCUCAAUUUCCAACACUUUACUGAAAAUGAGCAAAAGCAUAUUCUUAAAAUAAUUAUAUUUACUGGUGAACUUUUAUAAUUAAGUAAACAUGAGAUUUAAAGCAAAUAAAAGGUUCAAUCAUAUCACAUCAUUAUUAAUCAUUAUUAAUCAUAUUUGUCUUAACUAUUUUUUGCAUAUUUUUUUUUUUGUAUUUUUAUGUUUUUAUUACCAUUUUGUUUAUUUCUUAAAUGGUUGUAAAACAUAUUGAAAUGUACAUCCUGACUGUCUGCCUACUGUACAAAGGGAAAAUAGUUUUUAAAUAUAUUUACAGGGAAAAGAGAACAUACUAAUGCUGACAUUGAUUGAUAAUAACUCUAUUUCUUUCCUCUUCUUUCCGUUGCUUCUUCAAACCUUCUGAAUACUGGAUGACCAUCCAAAACAUGUCCAAAGAUACCCAUCCAUUUGUGAAGUAAUUCACAGGGGGUGUUGACUCAGUUUGAUUUAAGGCUAACUUGAUGGGUUUUAUCUUAAUAGUAUGGAGAGAGAAGUGGGUACUGAAUAAAUGAAUAGAUUAUCAGCAGGUCUAGGAAAACAGCUGUUGUCACUCAAUCAUUUCCCCUCCAUCUUCCAUCUCCAUAUUACAGAGUGCAGUUUGAUCAUAUUGGAAGUAGGAAUGACUCAGCGCAAUCUACUCCCUCAGCACCUUCAAUCUCCAUUCAGCACUGAAACACAAUUUCCUGCAGCCCUUGAACUCAUGACACCUCAUACUAAUUGAAGACAAACCUUUAAAUAACUGAUAGGCUCAUAUGCUGUACAAUAUCUUGUGUCAUCAGUCAGUUUCAUGUGAUAAGGCAUGUACUUCUGAAAGUCUGAACCCGGGGGGGGGAGGUUCAGUGCAAUGUACAAGUCUUAGGUUAAAAGUACUGUCAACAUCUGUCAAAGCAGACAGCGUGAGCAUUCUCAAGACAUCCUCCGUCUAACUGCCUCAGUCUGAGGAGGAAUGUCCCAUUUGGAGACAUCCUCACGACUUACAUUCACCCAUUCAUCAAUACCAUUACCAUCUUCUUUGGGCAACAACAUCUUUUAAGAGGAUUUGAGUUCAAUUUAGAAUUACAGAGCAUACGCCUGUAAUACACAUUAACAACACUCUGACUGCCGUGAAGUAAAACUGCAUUCACAAAUGCUUCUUCAACGUGUCUCAUAAGCCUGUAUGGACCUUCCUAACUUCAGAGAGUGAACGCAACGGGUUUUACGAGAUAAGUGGUGUGUUAAAAAGUGAGCCUAGGAGGCUGCUGGCUGUUUUCUAAGAACCUGAAUCCAAAAAGGGUUGAUCAAAUGCUUGUUAGAUGAGGCACAGCAGUCUGACAGUAUGUGUGGUGUUCUUUAGUAUGGACGUGUGACAGGUUUAUGAAGCACUUCCAAUGGUAUUUUAAUGUCUGUGUAAUAAUGUCCACAUCAAGUUAAGUGUUAGUUAUUCAAACAUGUUGUUCUCUUGAAACACACCACAGUCUCUCAGUCUCACAUCUGUAAAUAAUGACUUGGUUUCAGAGCAGCAGGUUUCCCCCUUCAAGACAAGGGGAUAUUGCACACAUCUUGUUCACUACGUAUCGUGCUGUUACACAACGCCCCGCUGAGCUCUCUGGGGUGCACAUCAUCUGGAGUCCUUUAAGGCUCGUCCUUCAGUCAGUAUCUUCAGCCAUCUGCUUCAUGACAAGACAUGUCUUUCACAGUUGUUGACCUGUUCAGAAACAGGGUGUGAAAUCUCUUGAAACCUCAAACAAAGAAGAACCGUUCAGUACUGUGCAAAUGAUGCCUUCCAGAUCUUUCCGUAACCAUUUUAAAAACAGCAAAUGAAUGAAUGAGCAUGGACUGUAUAUCAUUAAAACAAAAACAAGAGACCUAAUGACUUUUCACUCAGUCCUUCAGGCUUGUUAGUUGAAUUAGAUAACAAGCUUCCUGCCACCAUCGGGCAGACAAAGAAAUAACCACAAAUAUUAAACAGUAUUGAAAUAUCAAAGGAACAUAAAACAAACUUAAUGUCAUAAGCACUUCAUAAUAUCACUUUUGUUAAUCACAAUGUUAAUAACAUUAUUGUUGUUUUACCCUGUUAUUUCAGUAAGAAUAUCUUAUUUUCAUUUAUGAUUGAAUUAGCAUAACAAUAAAGAGUCAAAGGGAGGGAGCAGAAGGGAGCAGGGGGUGUAAGGGAG